UUUCAUGGAUGAGCAAAGAAAGUGAUUUCUUGAGCUAGAAUCUACUCAUGGUGCAUAUACAGUAAA
This 66-nucleotide microRNA precursor is filed under the name Marmota monax (woodchuck). Lineage: Eukaryota; Metazoa; Chordata; Mammalia; Rodentia; Sciuridae. The record is from RNAcentral.